UCCGGUUUGUCACCGGCAGUCUCCCUAGAGUGCCCAGCUUAACCUGCUGGCAACUAAGAUCAAGGGUUGCGCUCGUUGCGGGACUUAACCCAACAUCUCACGACACGAGCUGACGACAGCCAUGCAGCACCUGUGUUCCCGUUCCCUUUCGGGCACAGCCCCCUUUCAGGGGCCUCCAGGACAUGUCAAGGGUAGGUAAGGUUUUUCGCGUUGCAUCGAAUUAAUCCACAUAAUCCACCGCUUGUGCGGGUCCCCGUCAAUUCCUUUGAGUUUUAACCUUGCGGCCGUACUCCCCAGGCGGGGUGCUUAAUGCGUUAGCUACGGCACGGAACGGGUCGAUCCCCGCCCCACACCUAGCACCCAUCGUUUACGGCUAGGACUAC
This 383-nucleotide unclassified non-coding RNA is filed under the name uncultured bacterium. Its description in RNAcentral is "contains 16S-23S intergenic spacer region". The record is from RNAcentral.